UGCCUUAGUACGGCGAGUGAAGCGGCAACAGCUCAAAUUUGAAAUCUGGCCCUUUCGGGCCCCGAGUUGUAAUUUGUAGAGGAUGUUUCGGGUGCGGCGCGGGUCUAAGUCCCUUGGAACAGGGCGUCAUAGAGGGUGAGAAUCCCGUAUGCGACCGGUGACCAACCCCAUGUGAAACCCCUUCGACAAGUCGAGUUGUUUGGGAAUGCAGCUCAAAAUGGGUGGUAAAUUUCAUCUAAAGCUAAAUACCGGCCAAAGACCGAUAGCGCACAAGUAGAGUGAUCGAAAGAUGAAAAGCACUUUGGAAAGAAAGUCAAAAAGUACGUGAAAUUGUUGAAAGGGAAGCGCUUGCAACCAGACCUGUCCGCGGGCAAUCAACCUCUAUUCUCAGGGGUGCACUUGUCCGCGAUCAGGCCA
RNAcentral lists this ribosomal RNA (417 nucleotides) under Rhizoplaca sp. RNAcentral describes it as "partial large subunit ribosomal RNA". It matches the Rfam family "Eukaryotic large subunit ribosomal RNA", at positions 76 to 498 of the family's 3401-position model. Lineage: Eukaryota; Fungi; Ascomycota; Lecanoromycetes; Lecanorales; Lecanoraceae. The record is from RNAcentral.